GUCUCAGUAGCUCAAUUGGAUAGAGCAUCCCCCUCCUAAGGGGAAGGUUGGCAGUUCGAACCUGCCCUGGGGCACCA
Molecule: transfer RNA, 77 nt
Filed under: Pseudomonas azerbaijanoccidentalis
Lineage: Bacteria; Pseudomonadati; Pseudomonadota; Gammaproteobacteria; Pseudomonadales; Pseudomonadaceae
Description: tRNA-Arg
Rfam family: tRNA
About the family: Transfer RNA (tRNA) molecules are approximately 80 nucleotides in length. Their secondary structure includes four short double-helical elements and three loops (D, anti-codon, and T loops).
Source: RNAcentral